This 1381-nucleotide ribosomal RNA is filed under the name uncultured bacterium. RNAcentral's name for it is "bacterial SSU rRNA". It matches the Rfam family "Bacterial small subunit ribosomal RNA", at positions 28 to 1387 of the family's 1533-position model. The record is from RNAcentral.
GAUAAACGCUGGCGGCGCACAUAUGACAUGCAAGUCGAACGGAAGUCGUUAUACAAGGAGAGAAGAUUUAUCGGAUUGAAUUAUAUAACAAUGGCUUUAGUGGCGGACUGGUGAGUAACGCGUAAGAAAUCUACCUAUCAGAGGGGAACAACAAUGAGAAAUCAUUGCUAAUACCGCAUAUGCCAUAAACAUCGCAUGAUGAAAGUGGGAAAGGAGCAAUCCGCUGAUAGAUGAUCUUGCGUCUGAUUAGUUAGUUGGUGGGGUAAUGGCCUACCAAGACGACGAUCAGUAGCCGGACUGAGAGGUUGAACGGCCACAUUGGGACUGAGAUACGGCCCAGACUCCUACGGGAGGCAGCAGUCGGGAAUAUUGCGCAAUGGAGGAAACUCUGACGCAGUGACGCCGCGUGCAGGAAGAAGGUUUUCGGAUUGUAAACUGCUUUAGACAGGGAAGAGAAAGGACAGUACCUGUAGAAUAAGCUCCGGCUAACUACGUGCCAGCAGCCGCGGUAAUACGUAGGGAGCGAGCGUUAUCCGGAUUUAUUGGGUGUAAAGGGUGCGUAGACGGGAAUACAAGUUAGUUGUGAAAUACCUCGGCUUAACUGAGGAACUGCAACUAAAACUAUAUUUCUUGAGUGCAGGAGAGGUAAGUGGAAUUCCUAGUGUAGCGGUGAUAUGCGUAGAUAUUAGGAGGAACACCAGUGGCGAAGGCGACUUACUGGACUGAAACUGACGUUGAGGCACGAAAGUGUGGGGAGCAAACAGGAUUAGAUACCCUGGUAGUCCACACCGUAAACGCUCUAAACGAGGUGUAGGAGAUAUUAAGUUCUUCUGUGCCGUCGCAAACGCAGUUAAGUAUCCCCCCCGGGGGAGUACGGCCGCAAAGUUGAAACUCAAAGGAAUUGACGGGGGGCCGCCCCAAGCAGUGGAGUAUGUGGUUUAAUUUGAUAGCAACGCGAAAGAACCUUACCCAGGGCUUGACAUAUAGAUGAAUAUAUAAGAGAUUAUAUAGCUUUUCGGAGCAUCUAUACAGGUGGUGCAUGGUUGUCGUCAGCUCGUGUCGUGAGAUGUUGGGUUAAGUCCCGCAACGAGCGCAACCCCUGUUUCUAGUUGCCAGCAUGUAAAGAUGGGAACUCUAGAAAGACUGCCGUAGAUAAUACGGAGGAAGGUGGGGAUGACGUCAAAUCAUCAUGCCCUUUAUGUCCUGGGCUACACACGUACUACAAUGGCUGUAACAGAGGGAAGCGAACCAGUGAUGGUAAGCGAAACCCGAAAAGCAGUCACAGUUCGGAUUGAAGGCUGAAACUCGCCUUCAUGAAGCCGGAAUUGCUAGUAAUGGCAGGUCAGCAUACUGCCGUGAAUACGUUCCCGGGCCUUGCACA